AGAAAGGAAGAACGAGUCCAGCAGGACCAAGCGAAGGCACGGGCGGAGGAAGUACACCCGAGGGACCCAGCUCUGGCAUGCCAGGAACGACAUCCAGUGAGGCGCCAACUCCUGAAACGCCAGGCACAGGACCAAGUGAGAAGGGGUCUGUGACG
Molecule: long non-coding RNA, 155 nt
Filed under: Dermacentor andersoni
Lineage: Eukaryota; Metazoa; Arthropoda; Arachnida; Ixodida; Ixodidae
Description: uncharacterized LOC126517707
Source: RNAcentral